RNAcentral lists this transfer RNA (78 nucleotides) under Candidatus Diapherotrites archaeon CG_4_10_14_0_2_um_filter_31_5. RNAcentral's name for it is "tRNA-Lys". It matches the Rfam family "tRNA". Rfam says of the family: Transfer RNA (tRNA) molecules are approximately 80 nucleotides in length. Their secondary structure includes four short double-helical elements and three loops (D, anti-codon, and T loops). Further hydrogen bonds mediate the characteristic L-shaped molecular structure. tRNAs have two regions of fundamental functional importance: the anti-codon, which is responsible for specific mRNA codon recognition, and the 3' end, to which the tRNAs corresponding amino acid is attached (by aminoacyl-tRNA synthetases). tRNAs cope with the degeneracy of the genetic code in two manners: having more than one tRNA (with a specific anti-codon) for a particular amino acid; and 'wobble' base-pairing, i.e. permitting non-standard base-pairing at the 3rd anti-codon position. Lineage: Archaea; Nanobdellati; Candidatus Iainarchaeota. The record is from RNAcentral.
GAGGCUGUAGCUCAGUCUGAUAUCACAGAGGAAUAUUUUUUAACCGUGGUGUCGCGGGUUCAAACCCCGCCAGCCUCA